RNAcentral lists this transfer RNA (85 nucleotides) under Felis catus (domestic cat). It matches the Rfam family "tRNA". From Rfam's summary of the family: Transfer RNA (tRNA) molecules are approximately 80 nucleotides in length. The record is from Rfam by way of RNAcentral. Lineage: Eukaryota; Metazoa; Chordata; Mammalia; Carnivora; Felidae.
GCCUGGGUGGCUCAGUUGGUUGAGCGUCCGACUUCGGCUCAGGUCAUGAUCUCACAGUUCGUGGGUUCAAGCCCCGCAUCUGGCU